This 467-nucleotide ribosomal RNA is filed under the name uncultured bacterium. Its description in RNAcentral is "bacterial SSU rRNA". It matches the Rfam family "Bacterial small subunit ribosomal RNA", at positions 337 to 796 of the family's 1533-position model. The record is from RNAcentral.
UCCUACGGGAGGCAGCAGUGGGGAAUAUUGCGCAAUGGGGGGAACCCUGACGCAGCCAUGCCGCGUGAAUGAAGAAGGCCUUCGGGUUGUAAAGUUCUUUCGGUAAUGAGGAAGGGAUGUUGUUAAAUAGAUAGCAUCAUUGACGUUAAUUACAGAAGAAGCACCGGCUAACUCCGUGCCAGCAGCCGCGGUAAUACGGAGGGUGCGAGCGUUAAUCGGAAUAACUGGGCGUAAAGGGCACGCAGGCGGACUUUUAAGUGAGAUGUGAAAUCCCCGAGCUUAACUUGGGAACUGCAUUUCAGACUGGGAGUCUAGAGUACUUUAGGGAGGGGUAGAAUUCCACGUGUAGCGGUGAAAUGCGUAGAGAUGUGGAGGAAUACCGAAGGCGAAGGCAGCCCCUUGGGAAUGUACUGACGCUCAUGUGCGAAAGCGUGGGGAGCAAACAGGAUUAGAUACCCUGGUAGUCC